GACGGACCGUACGAACGUUAUUCGGAAUUACUGGGCUUAAAGGGUGCGUAGGCGGCUCAGAGAGUUGAAUGUGAAAGCCCUCGGCUUAACCGAGGAAUUGCAUCCAAAACUACUGGGCUUGAGUGAGACAGAGGUGAGCGGAACUCACGGUGGAGCGGUGAAAUGCGUUGAUAUCGUGAGGAACACCGGUGGCGAAAGCGGCUCACUGGGUCUUUGCUGACGCUGAGGCACGAAAGCUAGGGUAGCGAACGGG
This 253-nucleotide ribosomal RNA is filed under the name uncultured bacterium. RNAcentral's name for it is "partial 16S ribosomal RNA". It matches the Rfam family "Bacterial small subunit ribosomal RNA", at positions 524 to 776 of the family's 1533-position model. The record is from RNAcentral.